AACUUUCAACAACGGAUAUCUUGGUUCUCGCGACGAUGAAGAACGCAGCAAAGCGCGAUAGCUAGUGCAAAGUGCAAGGCCCAGUGAGUCAUCGAGAUUUUGAACGCAAAUGGCGGCUAGGCGUGAGAGUCUAGCCAUGUGUGGUCGAGUGACG
This 154-nucleotide ribosomal RNA is filed under the name Thecamonas trahens ATCC 50062. RNAcentral's name for it is "5.8S ribosomal RNA". It matches the Rfam family "5.8S ribosomal RNA". From Rfam's summary of the family: 5.8S ribosomal RNA (5.8S rRNA) is a component of the large subunit of the eukaryotic ribosome. Lineage: Eukaryota; Apusomonadida; Apusomonadidae. The record is from Rfam by way of RNAcentral.